ACGGUUAUAAAUCAACAUAUUGAUUUAUAAGCAUGGAAAUCCCCUGAGUGAAACAACGAAUUGCUGUGUGUAGUCUUUGCCCAUCUCCUACGAUGGGCUUUUUUUUAA
This 108-nucleotide non-coding RNA is filed under the name Escherichia coli. Its description in RNAcentral is "antisense sRNA RprA". It matches the Rfam family "RprA RNA". Rfam says of the family: Translational regulation of the stationary phase sigma factor RpoS is mediated by the formation of a double-stranded RNA stem-loop structure in the upstream region of the rpoS messenger RNA, occluding the translation initiation site. Clones carrying rprA (RpoS regulator RNA A) increased the translation of RpoS. Lineage: Bacteria; Pseudomonadati; Pseudomonadota; Gammaproteobacteria; Enterobacterales; Enterobacteriaceae. The record is from RNAcentral.